UACAGAGGUCUCAAGCGUUGUUCGGAUUCAUUGGGCGUAAAGGGCGCGUAGGCGGCGGGGUCAGUCGGGUGUGAAAUCUUGGGGCUUAACCCCGAAACGGCACUCGAAACUGCCCGGCUGGAGGGCCGGAGAGGAGAUCGGAAUUCACGGUGUAGCAGUGAAAUGCGUAGAGAAUCGUGAGGAAGACCCGUGGCGAAGGCGGAUCUCUGGACGGCUAAAACUGACGCUGAGGCGCGAAGGCCAGGGGAGCAAACGGG
Molecule: ribosomal RNA, 257 nt
Filed under: uncultured bacterium
Lineage: Bacteria
Description: partial 16S ribosomal RNA
Rfam family: Bacterial small subunit ribosomal RNA
Source: RNAcentral